CUUCUCUUCACUGCGUGGUAGCAGGUAGUCGUGGACUGUUUCUGACUUGCUUAACAUCACUAACCAAGCAAACGUAAAGGUCUUUCUCAUAUCUGAUAUGUCUGAUCUUGGUGUGAUGUGGAACAGAACCUAAUUCUUUUUGGGGGAGCUCUUUUCUUUUGAGAAAUGCUGAAUUCCAGCGCAUAACAACAAUCCCACUUAAAACAACCUUCAUGGUGCAGUUGGACAGCCAUUUACCCCUGCUGGGGACGUGUUUCUGGCCAGAAACUAGCCACACAUCUGGCGAUCUUGCAAGAGGUCCCUGAGUCCCGGCUAAAGAAUAAAGGUGACCAGGCUGCUCUCUGUCUCGGACCCUUCCAUGUAUGCACAUGGAAGGGCAGGGAAGUGCUCUCCCUGGAGGUGCCUUAUGGCUUUCCACGCGACAAGUGAUGUCAAUCCUAAAAGGGCAGCAGUCCUUAAGGCACUUUGGAGCUACCUUGGCGAGGAUGUUGGACAUCUCAUCUGGAGUAUAAGGACAUGGAGAUGACAUCCAGAGAGACCUGCAGAAAUCCACCAUGUGCAUAUAUGUCAUCAACAAGGAGCGUGGAGAAAUUGGAGCUCACGAUGAUAUUGGCAUUAACGUUGAAGGAGUAAUCAUUCUGGACAACAUUGGAUCUGUAGCCCAAGCAUGUGCAAUGAUGCUGGGAGUCAUCUAUGUACUGAACAUGGCUUACCCCAAAG
Molecule: long non-coding RNA, 720 nt
Organism: Etheostoma spectabile (orangethroat darter)
Lineage: Eukaryota; Metazoa; Chordata; Actinopteri; Perciformes; Percidae
Exons: 6
Source: RefSeq, a predicted model, not a curated record